RNAcentral lists this ribosomal RNA (440 nucleotides) under uncultured bacterium. Its description in RNAcentral is "partial 16S ribosomal RNA". It matches the Rfam family "Bacterial small subunit ribosomal RNA", at positions 338 to 795 of the family's 1533-position model. The record is from RNAcentral.
CCUACGGGUGGCAGCAGUGGGGAAUAUUGCUCAAUGGGGGAAACCCUGAUGCAGCGACGCCGCGUGAAGGAAGAAGUCCUUCGGUAUGUAAACUUCUAUCAGCAGGGAAGAAAAUGACGGUACCUGACUAAGACGACCCGGCUAACUACGUGCCAGCAGCCGCGGUAAUACGUAGGGGGCAAGCGUUAUCCGGAUUUACAGGGUGUAAAGGGAGCGUAGGGGGGGAUGCAAGUCAGAAGUGAAAGCCCGGGGCUCAAGUCCGGGACUGCUUUUGAAACUGUGUUGCUAGAUUGCAGGAGAGGUAAGUGGAAUGCGUGGUGUAGCGGUGAAAUGCGUAGAUAUUAGGCAGAACACCGGUGGCGAAGGCGGCUUACUGGUCUGUGAAUGACGCUGAGGCUCGAAAGCGUGGGGAGCAAACAGGAUUAGAUACCCUAGUAGUC